This is a long non-coding RNA of Bombus pyrosoma, 1644 nucleotides long. RefSeq lists it as uncharacterized. Lineage: Eukaryota; Metazoa; Arthropoda; Insecta; Hymenoptera; Apidae. The transcript has 3 exons. The record is from RefSeq and is a predicted model, not a curated record.
AGGAAGAAAUUACUAUAUUUUAAAAUAAUUCAGUUGAACUAAGAAAGAAACGAAGAUAAUUUUUUAGUAACAGUUUUAAAAUUUCUUAAAAAUAAUUAAAUCUGUAGAAGAAGAUCAUUACCUUGAGAAAUUGAAAAAUGUAUUAUUGAAAACAAAAUGCUCUGUAACUUCGAUCUUCGAGCGAUUGAGAAUUCCAAUAGCCGAUGGUCAGACCUACUUCUACUACUUGAACCAUAAUGUAAUGUGACGGCUGUCUACCCAUGGGUAGGAACAAUCUACUGACGUUCCUCUGGCAAUUCUGGCAUGCAUGAGUUACACAAUAUAGGAAUAAGGAUGUAUUUCUGACAAAGUUUAACUUCUGCAAAUAUUACUAGUGAUAGGAUACAUAUAAUAAAGUUUUAUAAUCAGGAUUAAACAAAUACUUGCAACGGAAUGCAAUCCGUAGAGAAAGGAAAAGGAGGACUCGUUUACAAUUCCAAUAAAUAUUAACUUGGUUGCAGCAAUAACAAUACUGUUUAAUGUACCACAGAGAGCCCUUCCUGUUCCCUUAGUUCCACCAAGUGAUUUCAGCGUUGACUUACACGUUUAUCUCCCUUUGAAAUGCUUGUGAAAGUAUUUUAAAAAAUUUGUCACUGUUACAACAUAUUUAGUAAGUGCAAAUUUUAGUGACUUUAUAAAAAUGAAUUUUAGUAAUCUUUUAAAACAUUUUUUUUUGUAGAGUACAAUAUAAUUUUUUAGAUUAAUUAUCUAGACCAAAUUUAGUGAACUAAUAUUAUUAAUGAAAUUUUACAAGUCACAAAUUAUUAAAAACAAUUACGAUAAGUAUACAUGUAUAAUAGAUAAAAGUUUGAUAAUAAAACAAAGAAAGUUUUACAAACUUGAAAAUCAUUUGAUUGUACUAUUUUGUGCCCUAUCAUUUGUUAUAUUAUUUAUUCAAAAUUGCUCUAUAACUAGUCACUUGUCAAUUCACUAAUAUUAUUAAUUAAACAUGAAUAAUGUUAGAUGAAUAAUUAAGAUAAAUGAGUAAACAAUUUAUACUAGUUUUAUAAAUUAUUUUGUAUUAUCAUAUAAUAAUUAAAAGAUUUUUAAAAAAUUGUAAUAACCAAAAUUAAAUUCAAGUUUAUUCAACAACCGUAAGAAUAUAUUUGCCGGGGAUAGUCUUCUUCAGUGACCUUGAAUAGCUACCUAGGUACUUCUCAACAAACUACAUACAAUCUAAAACCUCGUGAUCAAAAAUGCUUUCAAGACCGCUUAUUAUUAACCUCAACACUAUAACAAUAACCACGACAAUAAAUGCAACGACAAAUAGGAAUGAUUACGUCUUUCAGAUACCAUUCCAGAUAUUGUCUACCAAGCUCCAUACAAUUUACCCUAUACAUAAGAGGAACCUUUUAAACAAUCGAUACAAAGAGAUUUUAUCGUUCACAAGGUAGAAUCAAUGAUAAACCCAAACAACGAUGAAAAUGUAUGAUCUAAUUAGGGACGAAGCGGCGGUGGAAAAGGCCUUGGAUACUAGACAAUAUCAAGGCCAUUUUGGCCAAGAGCAACGCCUUGCCACCGAGAACCGCGAGGAACUGGAAACCCAUGGGUAUCAAGAUCGAACCCAUCAGGAGGAAGCCCAUCAUCAUCAGCGGCACCAUGUGG